UACGGAGGGUGCAAGCGUUAUCCGGAAUGAUUGGGCGUAAAGCGUCCGCAGGUGGCCAUGUGAGUCUGCUGUUAAAGAGUCUAGCUCAACUAGAUAAAAGCAGUGGAAACUACAUAGCUAGAGUACGUUCGGGGCAGAGGGAAUUCCUGGUGUAGCGGUGAAAUGCGUAGAGAUCAGGAAGAACACCAGUGGCGAAGGCGCUCUGCUAGGCCGUAACUGACACUGAGGGACGAAAGCUAGGGGAGCGAAUGGG
This 253-nucleotide ribosomal RNA is filed under the name uncultured bacterium. RNAcentral describes it as "partial 16S ribosomal RNA". It matches the Rfam family "Bacterial small subunit ribosomal RNA", at positions 524 to 776 of the family's 1533-position model. The record is from RNAcentral.